This 439-nucleotide ribosomal RNA is filed under the name uncultured bacterium. Its description in RNAcentral is "partial 16S ribosomal RNA". It matches the Rfam family "Bacterial small subunit ribosomal RNA", at positions 339 to 795 of the family's 1533-position model. The record is from RNAcentral.
CUACGGGGGGCUGCAGUGGGGAAUAUUGCACAAUGGAGGAAACUCUGAUGCAGCAACGCCGCGUGGAGGAUGACACAUUUCGGUGCGUAAACUCCUUUUAUAUAAGAAGAUAAUGACGGUAUUAUAUGAAUAAGCACCGGCUAACUCCGUGCCAGCAGCCGCGGUAAUACGGGGGGUGCAAGCGUUACUCGGAAUCACUGGGCGUAAAGAGCAUGUAGGCUGGUUUGUAAGUUGGAAGUGAAAUCCUAUGGCUUAACCAUAGAACUGCUUCCAAAACUACUUACCUAGAGUAUGGGAGAGGUAGAUGGAAUUUCUGGUGUAGGGGUAAAAUCCGUAGAGAUCAGAAGGAAUACCGAUUGCGAAGGCGAUCUACUGGAACAUUACUGACGCUCAGAUGCGAAAGCGUGGGGAGCAAACAGGAUUAGAUACCCGGGUAGUC